ACUCCUACGGGAGGCAGCAGUGGGGAAUAUUGCACAAUGGGCGCAAGCCUGAUGCAGCAACGCCGCGUGAGCGAUGAAGGCCUUCGGGUCGUAAAGCUCUGUCCUCAAGGAAGAAUAAAUGACGGUACUUGAGGAGGAACGCCCCGGCUAACUACGUGCCAGCAGCCGCGGUAAUACGUAGGGGCAAGCGUUAUCCGGAAUCACUGGGCGUAAAGGGUGCGUAGGCGGUUUUUCAAGUCAGAAGUGAAAGGCUAUGGCUCAACCAUAGUAAGCUUUUGAAACUGUUAAACUUGAGUGCAGGAGAGGAAAGUGGAAUUCCUAGUGUAGAGGUGAAAUUCGUAGAUAUUAGGAGGAACACCAGUGGCGAAGGCGACUUUCUGGACUGUAACUGACGCUGAGGCACGAAAGCGUGGGAGCGAACAGGAUUAGAUACCCUGGUAGACUGUCA
This 448-nucleotide ribosomal RNA is filed under the name uncultured bacterium. Its description in RNAcentral is "bacterial SSU rRNA". It matches the Rfam family "Bacterial small subunit ribosomal RNA", at positions 335 to 802 of the family's 1533-position model. The record is from RNAcentral.